CCUACGGGAGGCAGCAGUGGGGAAUAUUGGACAAUGGGCGAAAGCCUGAUCCAGCAAUGCCGCGUGAGUGAUGAAGGCCUUAGGGUUGUAAAGCUCUUUUACCAGGGAUGAUAAUGACAGUACCUGGAGAAUAAGCUCCGGCUAACUCCGUGCCAGCAGCCGCGGUAAUACGGAGGGAGCUAGCGUUGUUCGGAAUUACUGGGCGUAAAGCGUACGUAGGCGGUUAUUCAAGUCAGAGGUGAAAGCCUGGAGCUCAACUCCAGAACUGCCUUUGAAACUAGAUAGCUAGAAUCUUGGAGAGGUGAGUGGAAUUCCGAGUGUAGAGGUGAAAUUCGUAGAUAUUCGGAAGAACACCAGUGGCGAAGGCGACUCACUGGACAAGUAUUGACGCUGAGGUACGAAAGCGUGGGGAGCAAACAGGAUUAGAUACCCUGGUAGUCCACGCCGUAAACGAUGAUAACUAGCUGUUCGGGCUCUACGAGCUUGAGUGGCGCNGCUACGACAUUAAGUUAGUCCGUCCGUCGGGUAGGUACGGUCGGCGAAGAAGUUAAACGUUAACGUAAAGUUAAAGUUAGUACGGACGUUGAGACGNGCGACGGACGACGACGAGGGAGGAGG
This 618-nucleotide ribosomal RNA is filed under the name uncultured bacterium. Its description in RNAcentral is "bacterial SSU rRNA". The stretch from base 1 to 519 matches the Rfam family "Bacterial small subunit ribosomal RNA", at positions 338 to 873 of the family's 1533-position model. The record is from RNAcentral.